UACAGAGGGCGCGAGCGUUGUCCGGAAUCACUGGGCGUAAAGGGCGCGUAGGCGGGGAGGUAAGUCGGGUGUGAAAUCCCUCGGCCCAACCGAGGAACUGCGCCCGAGACUGCUUCUCUUGAGUCCCGGAGAGGAAGAUGGAAUUCCCGGUGUAGCGGUGAAAUGUGUAGAGAUCGGGAGGAACACCGGUGGCGAAGGCGGUCUUCUGGACGGUGACUGACGCUGAGGCGCGAAAGCGUGGGGAGCAAACGGG
This 253-nucleotide ribosomal RNA is filed under the name uncultured bacterium. Its description in RNAcentral is "partial 16S ribosomal RNA". It matches the Rfam family "Bacterial small subunit ribosomal RNA", at positions 524 to 776 of the family's 1533-position model. The record is from RNAcentral.